GAUGAACGCUGGCGGCGUGCCUAAUACAUGCAAGUCGAGCGAACAGACGAGGAGCUUGCUCCUCUGACGUUAGCGGCGGACGGGUGAGUAACACGUGGAUAACCUACCUAUAAGACUGGGAUAACUUCGGGAAACCGGAGCUAAUACCGGAUAAUAUAUUGAACCGCAUGGUUCAAUAGUGAAAGACGGUUUUGCUGUCACUUAUAGAUGGAUCCGCGCCGCAUUAGCUAGUUGGUAAGGUAACGGCUUACCAAGGCGACGAUGCGUAGCCGACCUGUGAGGGUGACCGGCCACACUGGAACUGAGACACGGUCCAGACUCCUACGGGAGGCAGCAGUAGGGAAUCUUCCGCAAUGGGCGAAAGCCUGACGGAGCAACGCCGCGUGAGUGAUGAAGGUCUUCGGAUCGUAAAACUCUGUUAUUAGGGAAGAACAAAUGUGUAAGUAACUAUGCACGUCUUGACGGUACCUAAUCAGAAAGCCACGGCUAACUACGUG
RNAcentral lists this ribosomal RNA (497 nucleotides) under uncultured bacterium. RNAcentral describes it as "partial 16S ribosomal RNA". It matches the Rfam family "Bacterial small subunit ribosomal RNA", at positions 28 to 507 of the family's 1533-position model. The record is from RNAcentral.